UAAGUAAAAUAAUAAUUAUUGUUAAAUGUUCGAUUAAUCUUUAUGCAAAAAAAUACAAAAAUAAUAUGUUAAAGUAACAUGAGGUAAAUAUUAUAGCUUUAUAAGUUUUUCAAUAAAUAUUAAAUUUCCUUUAUUUCAUCAUAAAAAAAUAAAAAAAGUUAAUUUCUAGAGAUCAAGAAAACAUAAAAAACAAACAAAUAAGUUAACAAUUUUCAAAGAACAAAUUAUUUUAAGAAUAUUAAUUAGAAAAACUUUAAGGUAUAAAAUUUAACAGAAUUAUAUGUAUGAUAAGAGUAAAAAAGAUAUUUAUAUACGAAAAAGUUUAAAAAAAUAUUAUAAACAAUUGAUAAUUGAUAAAAUGUCCAGGUGUUUCAUUUCCUGUAAAACGUGUAUUGUGCAUGCGCAUUGAACACUUCCUGUGACACGUAUAUUUUUUGUAACAGGUACUUGCUGACAUCAGUAUGGCUUGGUCUUCGUGACGUGUCGGGAAUUUCAAAUCGUUGAUAUUUGAACAACAAGACAACUGUCAUAAAAUGCAUAGGAUAAGAAUUCCAAUGAAAGAUGUUCUCUAGUGUACUUCGUUGUGUCCCGCUGUCCAAAAUCGUCGCUUCGACAUCGCUGGUCUUAGGCGCCAAAUCAACCGUUGUCGUAUAACGGAGAAAGAACUCACGGAUGUUACAUACUUUUAAUAUACAAAUACAAACACACAAGUGAACGAGUGGAAUACCAAAGUCGAACUGCCACUCUGACAUUUGAGAAUAGUAUAUAUAAUAUCAACCUGUCCUAAGGACAUUUUAUAAUGUAUAUAAAUACACAAGUUUUAGAGUUACAUAUAUUAAUCAUCCUGACAUAAGGUCAGUCCGUAUGCAUCCUGCACUAUAAUACUCAUAAAUCAUGUCAUGUUCCAUAGUGCACAUUAAGAAAUAAAAACCCUAAUAUAUGUAUAUACAUGUUG
Long non-coding RNA from Ruditapes philippinarum (Manila clam), 955 nucleotides. RefSeq lists it as uncharacterized. The transcript is spliced from 3 exons. The record is from RefSeq and is a predicted model, not a curated record. NCBI's taxonomy places the organism in Eukaryota, Metazoa, Mollusca, Bivalvia, Venerida, Veneridae.